CGGGAGACCUCCGUCUCUCCAUGAAGGAUCGGGGACCCCACUCCUCCUGGAGGAGAUUAUUUGGGUGACGAUGGUGUUUCUAGCCACUCUCAUGCGUGGCAGCUCUGCGUCCACAAGUUGGCCUGUUACAGUGAUUGUGACAGAGCCCAGCAAACACCCAAGUGCGGGCUCAUUUCGCCCGCGUCAGUGCCAC
Molecule: long non-coding RNA, 193 nt
Organism: Hyaena hyaena (striped hyena)
Lineage: Eukaryota; Metazoa; Chordata; Mammalia; Carnivora; Hyaenidae
Exons: 3
Source: RefSeq, a predicted model, not a curated record